Molecule: ribosomal RNA, 468 nt
Filed under: uncultured bacterium
Lineage: Bacteria
Description: partial 16S ribosomal RNA
Rfam family: Bacterial small subunit ribosomal RNA
Source: RNAcentral
GACGAACGCUGGCGGCGUGCUUAACACAUGCCAGUCGAACGGAAAGGCCCUGCUUUUGUGGGGUGCUCGAGUGGCGAACGGGUGAGUAACACGUGAGUAACCUGCCCUUGACUUUGGGAUAACUUCAGGAAACUGGGGAUAAUACCGGAUAGGAGCUACUGCUGCACGGUGGGGGUUGGAAAGUUUCGGCGGUUGGGGAUGGACUCGCGGCUUAUCAGCUUGUUGGUGGGGUUGUGGCUUACCAAGGCUUUGACGGAUAGCCGGCCUGAGAGGGUGGCCGGCCACAUUGGGACUGAGAUACGGCCCAGACGCCUACGGGAGGCAGCAGUGGGGAAUAUUGCACAAUGGGCGGAAGCCUGAUGCAGCAACGCCGCGUGCGGGAUGACGGCCUUCGGGUUGUAAACCGCUUUCGCCUGUGACGAAGCGUGAGUGACGGUAAUGGGUAAAGAAGCACCGGCUAACUACGUG